Molecule: ribosomal RNA, 206 nt
Filed under: uncultured bacterium
Lineage: Bacteria
Description: partial 16S ribosomal RNA
Rfam family: Bacterial small subunit ribosomal RNA
Source: RNAcentral
CGUGUAGGCGGACCCGCAAGUCGGACGUGAAAUCCCUGAGCUCAACUCAGGAACUGCAUCCGAAACUGCGGGCCUGGAGUGGUGGAGAGGGAAGCAGAAUUCCUGGUGUAGAGGUGAAAUUCGUAGAUAUCAGGAGGAACACCGGUGGCGAAGGCGGCUUCCUGGACACUUACUGACGCUGAGACGCGAAAGCGUGGGAGCAAACA